UCACGUUUGCGGCAAGCGAAAGUAUUAUUUCAUUUUUAUUUUUUCAUUUAAAAUUUUGUUAUUUACAUUUAACAUUGUGUGAUUCACUUGACAUUGAUAUUGGUCGACCGAUUUCAUAAGUCCAAUCACGUGUAGUGCUGUGGGACAAAACAAGUGAAAAGUACAAAAAUAAAUUUAAAACACUGGAAGCGUGGAAAGCUGUUUGUACGGAAACCAUGGACGGCUAUGAAGAUUUUAACGACUCUAAAAAAAAAAAUGAUAUCGAAAAAAAUAUUGAAAAUCAUCAAAUUUAAAAUGGAAUCUACCAAUUCAGAAAAUAAUUAUGUAUAAGAUGAACUACUAACAGUACAUGAUAAAACUCAAAAAAGAUAAACGUCUGAUUCUUCAGAUAACGAUAAUACUACUACAACCAAUUCCAAUAGGGUACACACCAAUCAAACUAACAACCCUCCCCAAGUAAAAGCAGAAUCAAACAUUAACACUCUACAUCAUGAUUUACUCAGUGAUUAUCCUGUUUAUUCAACAUCCAAAAAGAACGCUGUUCCGCGGAAAUUAAGAUAUAUUCUCAAUCACUUUUCAUUUUCAAGAUGUGAAAUUUACAAUUUAUUAAACGAUUGUCUAGAAAUAUCACAGGACGUUUUCUCUAGAAUUUCACACAAGUUAUUGGCCUUUCAGCAAUUUUUUCUUGGUCAAUGUUAUACCUUUAUUCGACGCAAACAACAGGAUAAUGUUGUAAACUAAGUGUUCUUAGCGUGGCAACUUAAUUACUGCACUCCGAUGUGGCGUGAUGAUAGAUUCAAUCUAUCAUGCAGGGUAACUUUUUGUUUAUUGAUGAAAUCAUGUUUCACAGCACUAAAAGAGCUGAGAGAGGACGGCCACGGCACUUAUAACUUAGAAAAAUAUCUACGAUAUAUAUUGAGUAUGAAGUUAAUGUGCAAUGAUGGAUUUUUAAGGAACAUAAGUGAAGUUUAAUUAUUUUCUC
This is a long non-coding RNA of Melanaphis sacchari, 982 nucleotides long. RefSeq lists it as uncharacterized. The record is from RefSeq and is a predicted model, not a curated record. The transcript has 6 exons. Lineage: Eukaryota; Metazoa; Arthropoda; Insecta; Hemiptera; Aphididae.